Molecule: ribosomal RNA, 423 nt
Filed under: uncultured bacterium
Lineage: Bacteria
Description: bacterial SSU rRNA
Rfam family: Bacterial small subunit ribosomal RNA
Source: RNAcentral
AAGACCUUGCGCUUUUGGAGCGGCCGAUGCCUGAUUAGCUUGUUGGUAAGGUAAAAGCUUACCAAGGCUUCGAUCAGUAGCUGGUCUGAGAGGACGGCCAGCCACACUGGGACUGAGACACGGCCCAGACUCCUACGGGAGGCAGCAGUGGGGAAUUUUGGACAAUGGGGGCAACCCUGAUCCAGCCAUGCCGCGUGAGUGAAGAAGGCCUUCGGGUUGUAAAGCUCUUUCAGCCGGAACGAAACGGUUACGGAUAACACCCGUGACUACUGACGGUACCGGAAGAAGAAGCACCGGCUAACUACGUGCCAGCAGCCGCGGUAAUACGUAGGGUGCAAGCGUUAAUCGGAAUUACUGGGCGUAAAGCGUGCGCAGGUGGUUUUGUAAGUCAGAUGUGAAAUCCCCGGGCUUAACCUGGGAACU